Cervus elaphus (red deer) is the source of this 2818-nucleotide RNA transcript. It is a transcript of the gene named solute carrier family 17 member 3, with no coding region annotated. The record is from RefSeq and is a predicted model, not a curated record. NCBI's taxonomy places the organism in Eukaryota, Metazoa, Chordata, Mammalia, Artiodactyla, Cervidae. The transcript is spliced from 15 exons.
CUUCCUCAGACACUAAAUCGAUGGGAAACUGAAAUACACAAAUUUGUUCCUGGUAACACUUGGCGCAUUCGGUAAAUCACAAGCCUGGAUAUGAACUAAGGAAUGCCAAGCUCCAAAUCUACCACUCUGAAAUUGGCACUUGUGUUUUAAAGGAGUCUCUUUUCUCAUGCCUGAUAUAUUGGAUCACACUCCAUCACCCUAAGAGGUAAAAAACAGACAUCAGAAGAGAAGAACACAGUUACCACUAUGACAGAGUUGAGUCCCACAGCAGGGAAGAACUCUCAAGAUAUACAAGGGGAUGAGAAGGUCAGCCCUAGGAAAGCUCCUAGCAUUUGUUCCACUCGCUAUGGAAUAGCCUUCAUGGUACACCUCUGCAACUUCAUAAUAAUGGCACAGAAUAUUAUCAUGAAUAUCACCAUGGUAGCCAUGGUCAACAGCACAAACCAUCAGCCCUCAUUUAAUGACUCCACUGAGGGGCUGCCUGUCGAUUCCUUUGGUGACCCAAAUAAUUCCCCAAAGAGUCUUCCUGCAGGGGCCCCUGUGUAUGAUUGGAACCCUCAAAUCCAGGGCAUCAUCUUUAGUGCUAUCAACUAUGGCAUGAUUCUGACACUGGCUCCCAGUGGAUACCUGGCUGGAAGAGUAGGAACAAAACGAGUGGUUGGUGCUGCUCUGCUUGGAUCCUCCCUUCUUGUUCUUUUCACCCCUCUGGCAGCUGAAUUUGGACUAGUUUUCCUCAUUGCAACUCGAAUACUUCAGGGCAUGAGCCUGGGGUUAGUAUAUGGGGGUCAGUUUGCAAUCUGGGAAAGAUGGAGUCCUCCACAUGAACGAAGUCGACUCUGUGGUGUUGCUGUAUCAGGAUUGCUGCUGGGAACCUCCAUUGCCAUCCUGCUGGGUGGCAUCAUCAGUCAAACCCUCGGGUGGCCUUUUGUCUUCUAUAUAUUUGGAGGUUUUGGCUGUGUCUGCUUUCCUCUCUGGUGUGUUUUGGUUUAUGAUGACCCCGUCGCUCAUCCAUGGAUAAACAUUACAGAGAAAGAAUAUAUCAUAUCCUCCUUGGCCCAACAGGUCAGCUCUACUAAGCAGCCUCUUCCCAUCAAAGCUAUGGUCAGAUCUGUACCCCUCUGGUCCAUGUGUGUUUGCUGUUUCAGCCAUCAGUGGUUAAUGAAUGUAAUAACUAUAUAUGCACCAACUUACAUUAGCUCUGUGUUCAACAUUGAUAUUAGAAAUAGUGGUUUCCUGUCUGCCCUUCCUUUCAUUAUUGCCUGGGUCGUUUGCUUCCUGGGAAGUUACCUGGCAGAUUUCCUUCUGACCAAGAAUUUUAGGCUUGUUACAGUGAGGAAAAUUGCCACAGUUCUAGGAAAUCUCCCCUCCUCAACAUUCCUUUUGGUUCUGCCAUUCGUUGCCUCCAACUAUAUCAUAGCAGUGAGCCUUCUGACGCUCUCCUGUGGACUAGGCCUGUUAUGUCAGCCAGGGGUCUAUGUCAAUGCCUUAGAUAUUGCUCCAAGGCAUUCUAGUUUUCUCAUGGGAAUGUCAAGGGCGUUUGCACAGCUAUCUGCUGUCCUGGCACCCACUGUCAGUGGAUUUCUUCUCAGUCAGGACCCUGAAUUUGGGUGGAGGAAUGUCUUUUCCUUGUCAUUCGUCAUUAACACAUUAGGACUGAUCUUCUAUCUUAUCUAUGGAAAAGCAGAUGUCCAAGACUGGGCUAAAGAAAGAAAACUUACUCAUUUAUGAAGGCCCCAGGAGGCUGACCUGUGUGGUUUGCACCCCACACUUUCUCUACUGGCUUCUGCUGGAUUUUCAGUGGAGGCAGGAGAGUGAGGAUAGGAGUAUUUAUCUCUACUGUUCCUCCCCAUGGAGACUGCAGCGUUAUUCAUAAUAGCCAGAAUAUGGAAACAGCCCAAUUGUCCAUCAAUGACGAAUGGAUAAAGAAGAUGUUUAUUUAAGCCAUGAAAAUGAAAGACAUUCUGCACAACAGGAAUGGAUUUUGAAGGCAUUAUGCUAAGUAAAAUAAGUCAGAUAAAGACGAAUAUUUUGAUAUCACUUAUCAGGGAAAUCUAAAAAAGCCUAAUUCAUAGAAACAAGAUUACAAUGGUAGAGAUUAGAAUGGGAGUUACCAGUGGCUGGGGGAUAGGGGAAAAAGGGAGACAUUGGUCAAAGAGUACAAACUUCCAGUUAUAAGAAGAGCAAGUUCUCGGAAUCUCAUGUACAGCAUAGUGAUUAUAGUGAAUAAUAUAUUUUACACUUGACUGUUGCUAAAUGUAAAUCUUAAACAUUCUCAACACAAAAAAGAAAUGGUAAUAAUGUUAAUAAUGUGACAUGAUGGAGGUGUUAGCUAACACUAUGGUGGUAACCCUUUUGCACAUAUAAGUGUUUCAAGUCAACAUGAUGUAAACUUAUACAAUGUCACAUGUGAAUUAUAUCCCAAUAAAGUUGGGGGGGAAAAGUAAGGGCAUCCUUUUUUUUUUUUUUUCCCUCAGCAAAAUGCCUCCUGACUAUACUUGUUGAACUAAAUUAAGAAGUUCCAAAGUAGAUACAUUUUUGUUUGGUGAACCCUCUUUCUUCCCUAUGAUAUUAAUGUGACAAAAGAAAAAAAAAUUUACUAAUGAAACCUGUGAGUUUUUCCUGGUGGGCCAUAUAACCUAAAGGCUCCAUAUGCUUGUAUCAGAAGAAAGAUCUUGAUUAUUAAAUAUAUUAUUAAAAUGCCUACAUUGAAAAUGAAAGAUGACUUAAAAUUGAACCAGUUGAUUAACAUGGUCCUAACUUUAGGUGUAUUAUAUUUUUUAAGUUAUGUACUAUACAAUGAGAGCUCCUAAAGACAGAA